RNAcentral lists this ribosomal RNA (459 nucleotides) under uncultured bacterium. RNAcentral describes it as "partial 16S ribosomal RNA". It matches the Rfam family "Bacterial small subunit ribosomal RNA", at positions 338 to 795 of the family's 1533-position model. The record is from RNAcentral.
CCUACGGGAGGCAGCAGUGAGGAAUAUUGGUCAAUGGGCGGGAGCCUGAACCAGCCAAGCCGCGUGAGGGAAGAAGGUACUGCGUACCGUAAACCUCUUUUGUCAGGGAACAAAGGCGGGGAAUAGUCCCCGGAUGAGGGUACCUGAAGAAAAAGCAUCGGCUAACUCCGUGCCAGCAGCCGCGGUAAUACGGAGGAUGCGAGCGUUAUCCGGAUUUAUGGGGUUUAAAGGGUGCGCAGGCGGCCUGUUAAGUCAGCGGUAAAAGCCCGGGGCUCAACCCCGCCGAGCCGUUGAAACUGGCGGGCUGGAGUUGGAGAGAGGUACGCGGAAUGCGCGGUGUAGCGGUGAAAUGCUUAGAGAUCGCGCAGAACCCCGAUGGCGAAGGCAGCGUACCGGCUCCACACUGACGCUGAGGCACGAAAGCGUGGGUAUCGAACAGGAUUAGAUACCCCAGUAGUC